Small nucleolar RNA from Lathyrus oleraceus (garden pea), 107 nucleotides. NCBI's taxonomy places the organism in Eukaryota, Viridiplantae, Streptophyta, Magnoliopsida, Fabales, Fabaceae. The record is from RefSeq and is a predicted model, not a curated record.
AGACCGUGAUGAGAACAUAGUCUCAUCAUGUCCUUCUAUCGUUCCCAAGUUUCAAAAAGUGAUUCUCUUUUUGUCUGUAUGAAUGUAGUUAUGUGAUUUCUUAGCAC